GGAAUUGCUAGUAAUGGCAGGUCAGCAUACUGCCGUGAAUACGUUCCCGGGCCUUGUACACACCGCCCGUCACACCAUGAGAGUUGGGAAUACCCGAAGCCUGUGAGCUAACUUUUAGAGGCAGCAGUCGAAGGUAGAGCCAAUGAUUGGGGUGAAGUCGUAACAAGGUAAC
RNAcentral lists this ribosomal RNA (172 nucleotides) under uncultured bacterium. RNAcentral describes it as "partial 16S ribosomal RNA". It matches the Rfam family "Bacterial small subunit ribosomal RNA", at positions 1328 to 1500 of the family's 1533-position model. The record is from RNAcentral.